RNAcentral lists this ribosomal RNA (425 nucleotides) under uncultured bacterium. RNAcentral describes it as "partial 16S ribosomal RNA". It matches the Rfam family "Bacterial small subunit ribosomal RNA", at positions 354 to 796 of the family's 1533-position model. The record is from RNAcentral.
GUGGGGAAUCUUGCGCAAUGGGCGAAAGCCUGACGCAGCCAUGCCGCGUGAAUGAUGAAGGUCUUAGGAUUGUAAAAUUCUUUCACCGGGGACGAUAAUGACGGUACCCGGAGAAGAAGCUCCGGCUAACUUCGUGCCAGCAGCCGCGGUAAUACGAAGGGGGCUAGCGUUGCUCGGAAUUACUGGGCGUAAAGGGCGCGUAGGCGGACAGUUUAGUCAGAGGUGAAAGCCCAGGGCUCAACCUUGGAAUUGCCUUUGAUACUGGCUGUCUUGAGUUUGGGAGAGGUGAGUGGAACUCCGAGUGUAGAGGUGAAAUUCGUAGAUAUUCGGAAGAACACCAGUGGCGAAGGCGACUCACUGGCCCAAUACUGACGCUGAGGCGCGAAAGCGUGGGGAGCAAACAGGAUUAGAAACCCGUGUAGUCC